GCCGGGGUGGCGGAACAGGUAGACGCAGCGGACUUAAAAUCCGCCGGGUUCUCACUCGUACCGGUUCGAUUCCGGUCCUCGGCA
This 84-nucleotide transfer RNA is filed under the name Candidatus Wallbacteria bacterium HGW-Wallbacteria-1. RNAcentral describes it as "tRNA-Leu". It matches the Rfam family "tRNA". From Rfam's summary of the family: Transfer RNA (tRNA) molecules are approximately 80 nucleotides in length. Their secondary structure includes four short double-helical elements and three loops (D, anti-codon, and T loops). Lineage: Bacteria; Candidatus Walliibacteriota. The record is from RNAcentral.